GCCGGUGUAGUUCAACGGUUAGAACAAGACACUCAUAAAGUCUAGACGAUGGUUCAACUCCAUCCAUCGGCA
RNAcentral lists this transfer RNA (72 nucleotides) under Parcubacteria bacterium C7867-008. Its description in RNAcentral is "tRNA-Met". It matches the Rfam family "tRNA". From Rfam's summary of the family: Transfer RNA (tRNA) molecules are approximately 80 nucleotides in length. Their secondary structure includes four short double-helical elements and three loops (D, anti-codon, and T loops). Further hydrogen bonds mediate the characteristic L-shaped molecular structure. tRNAs have two regions of fundamental functional importance: the anti-codon, which is responsible for specific mRNA codon recognition, and the 3' end, to which the tRNAs corresponding amino acid is attached (by aminoacyl-tRNA synthetases). tRNAs cope with the degeneracy of the genetic code in two manners: having more than one tRNA (with a specific anti-codon) for a particular amino acid; and 'wobble' base-pairing, i.e. permitting non-standard base-pairing at the 3rd anti-codon position. The record is from RNAcentral. Lineage: Bacteria; Candidatus Parcubacteria.